UUGCACGCUGGCGGCAGGCCUCACACAUGCAAGUCGAGCGGAUGAAGGGAGCUUGCUCCUGGAUUCAGCGGCGGACGGGUGAGUAAUGCCUAGGAAUCUGCCUGGUAGUGGGGGAUAACGUCCGGAAACGGGCGCUAAUACCGCAUACGUCCUGAGGGAGAAAGUGGGGGAUCUUCGGACCUCACGCUAUCAGAUGAGCCUAGGUCGGAUUAGCUAGUUGGUGGGGUAAAGGCCUACCAAGGCGACGAUCCGUAACUGGUCUGAGAGGAUGAUCAGUCACACUGGAACUGAGACACGGUCCGGACUCCUACGGGAGGCAGCAGUGGGGAAUAUUGGACAAUGGGCGAAAGCCUGAUCCAGCCAUGCCGCGUGUGUGAAGAAGGUCUUCGGAUUGUAAAGCACUUUAAGUUGGGAGGAAGGGCAGUAAGUUAAUACCUUGCUGUUUUGACGUUACCAACAGAAUAAGCACCGGCUAACUUCGUG
This 483-nucleotide ribosomal RNA is filed under the name uncultured bacterium. RNAcentral's name for it is "partial 16S ribosomal RNA". It matches the Rfam family "Bacterial small subunit ribosomal RNA", at positions 30 to 507 of the family's 1533-position model. The record is from RNAcentral.